GCCUUCUUCACUCACGCGGAAUGGCUGGAUCAGGUUGCCCCCAUUGUCCAAAAUUCCCCACUGCUGCCUCCCGUAGGAGUCUGGGCCGUGUCUCAGUCCCAGUGUGGCUGGUCGUCCUCUCAGACCAGCUACUGAUCGUNGCCUUGGUGAGCCUUUACCUCACCAACUAGCUAAUCAGACAUCGGCCGCUCCAA
RNAcentral lists this ribosomal RNA (194 nucleotides) under uncultured Nitrosospira sp. B8. RNAcentral's name for it is "partial 16S ribosomal RNA". Lineage: Bacteria; Pseudomonadati; Pseudomonadota; Betaproteobacteria; Nitrosomonadales; Nitrosomonadaceae. The record is from RNAcentral.